GGGGCCUGGACCCGGAGGCAGCGACGGGGACGGCGGCGGGGCUGAGCAGCUCUAGCCCCAAACGGCUACAACCCCGGACCGGCGAUUACCGGAGCUGAGGGGUUGCUGAGGCGAAACGAGGAAACAGCCACGCCACCGUGGCCGCCCUGCCGGUCGGGUUCUGGAAUAUGAGCGCCCGCACCACUCCUGAGGGCGCCGCCUGGAGCGGACCCCGAGAGCUGGAGGCGGGCUGGCGGCCUAAAGGAGCCAGGCCUCUCGGGGGUCGGCCGAUCGAUGACUCGGCGCGCAACGGCACUGCCUGAGAGCGCGGGCACAGUGCGCAGGCGCCGAGAUGCGGCCGCUUCCUGGCGUCUCCGUCUUUCCUCGGCAGUAUCUGGGACUCUGUGUACUUGCUCCCUGUGUGCAUGGAACAACGGUAGCGCAGACAGGGAUGCUGCAGACAGACAAUACAGUCGCCACUCCCCAGGACCAAGUGUCAUCCCAUUUCUUCUGUGGCCCCCAGCUCCAGCGGCAUCUGCUCUGAGAAGCCUUAGGUUAAUCCUUAGGCUUGGCCGGGCGCGGUGGUUCAUGCUUGUAAUCCCAGCACUUUGGGAGGCCGAGGCGGGUGGAUCGUUUGAGCCCAGGAGUUGGAGAUCAGCCUGGGCAACAUGCAGCUGA
This 657-nucleotide long non-coding RNA is filed under the name Piliocolobus tephrosceles (Ugandan red Colobus). RNAcentral's name for it is "lncRNA (ENSPTEG00000023077.1)". Lineage: Eukaryota; Metazoa; Chordata; Mammalia; Primates; Cercopithecidae. The record is from RNAcentral.